AAUACAAAGGGCAGCAAAACCGCGAGGUCAAGCAAAUCCCAUAAAGUUGUUCUCAGUUCGGAUUGUAGUCUGCAACUCGACUACAUGAAGCUGGAAUCGCUAGUAAUCGUAGAUCAGCAUGCUACGGUGAAUACGUUCCCGGGUCUUGUACACACCGCCCGUCACACCACGAGAGUUUGUAACACCCGAAGCCGGUGGAGUAACCAUUUUGGAGCUAGCCGUCGAAGGUGGGACAAAUGAUUGGGGUGAAGUCGUAACAAGGUAGCCGUAGCGGAAGGUGCGGCUGGAUCACCUCCUUUCUAAGGA
RNAcentral lists this ribosomal RNA (306 nucleotides) under Staphylococcus hyicus. RNAcentral's name for it is "partial 16S ribosomal RNA". It matches the Rfam family "Bacterial small subunit ribosomal RNA", at positions 1236 to 1533 of the family's 1533-position model. Lineage: Bacteria; Bacillati; Bacillota; Bacilli; Caryophanales; Staphylococcaceae. The record is from RNAcentral.